GCCGGGUUAGCUCAGUUGGUUGGAACACGGCGCUAAUAACGCCAAGGUCGCAGGUUCGAUCCCCGCUCACUGCA
Molecule: transfer RNA, 74 nt
Organism: Pelecanus crispus (Dalmatian pelican)
Lineage: Eukaryota; Metazoa; Chordata; Aves; Pelecaniformes; Pelecanidae
Rfam family: tRNA
About the family: Transfer RNA (tRNA) molecules are approximately 80 nucleotides in length. Their secondary structure includes four short double-helical elements and three loops (D, anti-codon, and T loops).
Source: Rfam